Molecule: long non-coding RNA, 1039 nt
Organism: Mus musculus (house mouse)
Lineage: Eukaryota; Metazoa; Chordata; Mammalia; Rodentia; Muridae
Product: predicted gene, 33693
Exons: 4
Source: RefSeq, a predicted model, not a curated record
CCACCUACUUAGAACAUGAGAGUGGACUCUGAACGUCCAUGGAGAUUUUCUCUCUUCUGGAUUUGCCCUUUUCUCCAUGCCCCUCCCUUAUGGUGAUGGAAUUAGAAGGUGGAGAUUUGGGGAAGCGGUUAAAUCCUGAGGGCUCGGCCUUCGUGAAUGGGAUCAGUAGCGUUAUACAAGAAGCAACCUACAGGGAACCGCUGACCUCUGGACACAACAGGAUAGCCGUACUUAGGGAUUCAUAGCAGUUGUGACAUCAUGAACCACACAGACCCAUGCAAGCUCAAUCCAGACAAAAUCUCAGCAUGGAAGGGCAGAGCUAGAUAGACGUCCCACCCCCCCAGCUAAGGCGCUAUUGGCAACUGGUAGCUGUUCAUGGACAGAAGAGCCUGUUUUCUUUAAGAGUGUAGCACCUGAUAUACGAUGCAAUGAAAGAAAUUAAGCAUCGCAGAGCACACCCUGCAUGAUUUCAUUUACAUGGAGACUGGAAAGAAAGCAAUUGUGAAGGAGGUCAGAAGGAAAGGAUUUCCUGAAGGAUCUCGGCCCAGAGGGUCAUGCUGGGAGUCUUCGCAACUUCACACACUUGAUGCUCUUGAAGGACAGAAUACAGCACGUGUGUCCUGGGGUUCACAUUGAGAUCAGCUCCCUCUGUGAGGAAGGACUUUGAUACCAGUCCACUUGUCCCAAAAUGCAUCGUCUGGAGUCUCAGGCGCUCUGUCUGUGAGUGAGCACUUACCAGGAAGCUGAUGUAGCACAGAGCCAAGCAGAGAAAGAAAGGUGGGUAGCCAGACCUUCUGCUUACCCAAGGGUCUCCCUGUCCCGCUGCCUCACAGCACCCCCUGAGAAAGCCUUAUCAGUUUCUCAAACAGCCUCUGAACCUCUUCCCUCCCAAAGAUGAAUACAUUAGAUCCCUUCCAGCCAUGGAGUUGGUUGUUGUUGUCGAGAUCCUUAUACACACAGCGUGAGUUUGUCCUCUGGAAAUAACUGGGAAGUAUCCAGGAAAAGAAUUACUGCAAAUAAACACUACAGUGAAUGCUCC